This 423-nucleotide ribosomal RNA is filed under the name Triticum aestivum (bread wheat). RNAcentral describes it as "partial small subunit ribosomal RNA". The record is from RNAcentral. Lineage: Eukaryota; Viridiplantae; Streptophyta; Magnoliopsida; Poales; Poaceae.
AUGUAUCUUCGGAUUGUGGUUACCUUGCCCCGUAAUCUCUGUUACUAUGCAAUGUCAAAGGCAGGAGUGCCAAUAAGGUAUUGGUCGGGCUCCAUGGGGCAGCACAACCUUAUCCACAUGUGCACAAAGAGCAGGGACAGUCGGAGCAGCAAAAUCGUGAGGUGGAUGGGACGCGAGGACUUGUGGAACAUGCUGGUUUACACUUCGUCCAUUCCAGUCCCGGCAGAUUUCAGCGAGUUGCUUCGGGAACAAAUGUUGCAAAGUGUGGGCGUCAGCACAGAGAGCCCAGAUCACAUCCAGAACUCACGGGGCCAGGCGGCGCUGAAGAGGAUGGGUAUAUCGCAAGAGGAACUGCUCAGCUGGAACGUGGACAUCGAGCUGGAUGAGAGCAUCCUCGUGUGUACCUCAGCUGGCACGAUGUGA